Long non-coding RNA from Armigeres subalbatus, 813 nucleotides. RefSeq lists it as uncharacterized. The transcript is spliced from 2 exons. The record is from RefSeq and is a predicted model, not a curated record. NCBI's taxonomy places the organism in Eukaryota, Metazoa, Arthropoda, Insecta, Diptera, Culicidae.
CAGCAUUGAAUGUGAAAUAAAAUGAUUCCAAACAUGCUACAUUAUACAAUCUUAAAAAUUCUACUACGAUUACUGAGCUCACUGAUGUGUGAAUCUAAAAUCUUGUUAGAUUUUAGAAACAUAUCUAACACUUUUUUUGAAUGUAACGGUACAAGAUGCCAAUCUUGCAUUUCGUUAUUUUUGUGGGAUGUAAAAUAGUUAUUAGAGACAGCAACAACGUGCUGUAUCAUUGUAAAUUUUUAGACGUUCCUGCCGAAGAGGACUCAUUCAUCCGUGAACCAAAGAAAAGAAAACACAUCUUCUUGGUAGGUAGGUACUCCUACCAAACUUUGUAAAAGACCAGCAAUGAACGACGACGAUGACCGCACGAAGGAGGAAACACAAAGAAGCAACCAAUCACCAAUAAUACGCACGGUCGGAUCGGCUCCGAUGGAUGGAUGGAUGUCGAGAAGAAAACGACCAAGACCAAAAUUGCCGUCGACCGUCGAAAAAAAGGCGAAUUAUUCCAAAAUAUGGGGCCCCGCUGUUUUCCGCCGAAGCAGGUGUUUAAAACCUGCUGCGGCUGCGUUUACGAAGAACAACGGCUUCGGCUUUUGUUCUCCACCCAUGGGCUAAGGAGGGCGAACGUGCGGACUCCCAUUGGAUUGGAAGGUUUUUUAUUUUCCCGUUUUUCAUGAGAGUAAAUAUGUACUCAGACACAAAGCACGGGCCUGUCGUGGAAAGGUCAGAUUUUUCGAGCUAUUAUAUAAAGAUGAUUAUGAAUCCUUGAAUAAUAAAAAUAUUUGUCCCAUCGAGUUAAUUGGAGAAUAAGAA